Pteropus alecto (black flying fox) is the source of this 640-nucleotide long non-coding RNA. RefSeq lists it as uncharacterized. Lineage: Eukaryota; Metazoa; Chordata; Mammalia; Chiroptera; Pteropodidae. The record is from RefSeq and is a predicted model, not a curated record. The transcript is spliced from 3 exons.
UUACAUGGUAAAUGGAAGGGCCAGGAUGGUGGCGAUGACAAUGAUGGUGGUGGUAAUGAUGAAGACAACUAACAAUUGUCGAGCAUAUCUUUUGUGCCAGCCAAUGUGCAGAGUGUGCUACGUUCAUUAACUCAUUCGAUUAUCACACCGUCUUUUCUGCCUUUAUCAAUUACAAGUGAGCCAAUUAAAGCAGAAACCCUUGAUGUAAGGAUAUAAAGCACCAUCACACAGUAUUUGACCUCUGAAAGGCUCCGAGGGCAAAAAGGUAACGUCUGCUUCUGUUGAAAUACAUGUCAUCUCUCUGGCUCCUGGGAAUACUGAGUUGGAGACCCCCACAUGGCUAUGCCAUAUGCAGGGGGUUUGACUACAUAGGGACCUGUCAUGUGUGGGACAUGUGAUCUUGGAUUAAACGAAUGUAUCGGUGACAAUUAGAGGUCACAGACAUAGGAUCUCCAGGGGAGAUGCCAGAGCUCUUUCUCCAGGCACAUACAGAGGAAAGAGGAAAGGCCAUGUGAGGACAUAGCAAGAGGACUGCUGAUGUGUAAGCAGAGGAAAGAGGCCUUACCAGAACCCAACCCUUUCUGGCACCUUGAUCUUGGACUUCUGGCCUCCACAACUGUGAGAAAUAAAUGUCUGUUCU